This 101-nucleotide transfer RNA is filed under the name Candidatus Aenigmatarchaeota archaeon. RNAcentral's name for it is "tRNA-Thr". It matches the Rfam family "tRNA". From Rfam's summary of the family: Transfer RNA (tRNA) molecules are approximately 80 nucleotides in length. Their secondary structure includes four short double-helical elements and three loops (D, anti-codon, and T loops). Further hydrogen bonds mediate the characteristic L-shaped molecular structure. tRNAs have two regions of fundamental functional importance: the anti-codon, which is responsible for specific mRNA codon recognition, and the 3' end, to which the tRNAs corresponding amino acid is attached (by aminoacyl-tRNA synthetases). tRNAs cope with the degeneracy of the genetic code in two manners: having more than one tRNA (with a specific anti-codon) for a particular amino acid; and 'wobble' base-pairing, i.e. permitting non-standard base-pairing at the 3rd anti-codon position. Lineage: Archaea; Nanobdellati; Candidatus Aenigmatarchaeota. The record is from RNAcentral.
GCCUCUGUAGCUCAACUGGCAGCUUUUCUCAAGAAGAAACGUCAGGAAAGAGCACCUGUUUCGUAAACAGGAGGUUGGGGGUUCGACUCCCUCCGGAGGCU